AGAGUUUGAUCCUGGCUCAGGACGAACGCUGGCGGCACGCUUAACACAUGCAAGUCGAACGAGAGAAGAGGAGCUUGCUUUUCUGAUCUAGUGGCGGACGGGUGAGUAACACGUGAGCAAUCUGCCUUUCAGAGGGGGAUACCGAUUGGAAACGAUCGUUAAUACCGCAUAACAUAAUUGAACCGCAUGAUUUGAUUAUCAAAGAUUUAUCGCUGAAAGAUGAGCUCGCGUCUGAUUAGCUAGUUGGUAAGGUAACGGCUUACCAAGGCGACGAUCAGUAGCCGGACUGAGAGGUUGAUCGGCCACAUUGGGACUGAGACACGGCCCAGACUCCUACGGGAGGCAGCAGUGGGGAAUAUUGCACAAUGGAGGAAACUCUGAUGCAGCGAUGCCGCGUGAGGGAAGAAGGUUUUAGGAUUGUAAACCUCUGUCUUCAGGGACGAAAAAAGACGGUACCUGAGGAGGAAGCUCCGGCUAACUACGUGCAAGCAGCCGCGGUAAUACGUAGGGAGCGAGCGUUGUCCGGAAUUACUGGGUGUAAAGGGAGCGUAGGCGGGAUCGCAAGUCAGAUGUGAAAACUAUGGGCUUAACCCAUAAACUGCAUUUGAAACUGUGGUUCUUGAGUGAAGUAGAGGUAAGCGGAAUUCCUAGUGUAGCGGUGAAAUGCGUAGAUAUUAGGAGGAACAUCAGUGGCGAAGGCGGCUUACUGGGCUUUAACUGACGCUGAGGCUCGAAAGCGUGGGGAGCAAACAGGAUUAGAUUCCCUGGUAGUCCACGCCGUAAACGAUGAUUACUAGGUGUGGGGGGACUGACCCCUUCCGUGCCGCAGCAAACGCAAUAAGUAAUCCACCUGGGGAGUACGACCGCAAGGUUGAAACUCAAAGGAAUUGACGGGGGCCCGCACAAGCAGUGGAGUAUGUGGAUUAAUUCGAAGCAACGCGAAGAACCUUACCAGGUCUUGACAUCGUAUGCAUAGCUCAGAGAUGAGUGAAAUCUCUUCGGAGACAUAUAGACAGGUGGUGCAUGGUUGUCGUCAGCUCGUGUCGUGAGAUGUUGGGUUAAGUCCCGCAACGGGCGCAACCCUUACUGUUAGUUGCUACGCAAGAGCACUCUAGCAGGACUGCCGUUGACAAAACGGAGGAAGGUGGGGAUGACGUCAAAUCAUCAUGCCCCUUAUGACCUGGGCCUCACACGUACUACAAUGGCUGUCAACAGAGGGAAGCAAAGCCGCGAGGUGGAGCGAACCCCUAAAAGCAGUCUUAGUUCGGAUUGUAGGCUGCAACCCGCCUACAUGAAGUCGGAAUUGCUAGUAAUUGCAGAUCAGCAUGCUGCGGUGAAUACGUUCCCGGGCCUUGUACACACCGCCCGUCACGCCAUGGGAGUCGGUAACACCCGAAGCCUGUAGUCUAACCGCAAGGAGGACGCAGUCGAAGGUGGGAUUGAUGACUGGGGUGAAGUCGUAACAAGGUA
This 1470-nucleotide ribosomal RNA is filed under the name metagenome. RNAcentral's name for it is "bacterial SSU rRNA". It matches the Rfam family "Bacterial small subunit ribosomal RNA". The record is from RNAcentral.